RNAcentral lists this transfer RNA (76 nucleotides) under Syntrophobacteraceae bacterium. Its description in RNAcentral is "tRNA-Ala". It matches the Rfam family "tRNA". Rfam says of the family: Transfer RNA (tRNA) molecules are approximately 80 nucleotides in length. Their secondary structure includes four short double-helical elements and three loops (D, anti-codon, and T loops). Further hydrogen bonds mediate the characteristic L-shaped molecular structure. tRNAs have two regions of fundamental functional importance: the anti-codon, which is responsible for specific mRNA codon recognition, and the 3' end, to which the tRNAs corresponding amino acid is attached (by aminoacyl-tRNA synthetases). tRNAs cope with the degeneracy of the genetic code in two manners: having more than one tRNA (with a specific anti-codon) for a particular amino acid; and 'wobble' base-pairing, i.e. permitting non-standard base-pairing at the 3rd anti-codon position. The record is from RNAcentral. Lineage: Bacteria; Pseudomonadati; Thermodesulfobacteriota; Syntrophobacteria; Syntrophobacterales; Syntrophobacteraceae.
GGGGAUGUAGCUCAGCUGGGAGAGCGCAGGCUUCGCAAGUCUGAGGUCGUGGGUUCGAUCCCCAUCAUCUCCACCA